This 1025-nucleotide ribosomal RNA is filed under the name Enterococcus faecalis. Its description in RNAcentral is "partial 23S ribosomal RNA". It matches the Rfam family "Bacterial large subunit ribosomal RNA", at positions 412 to 1440 of the family's 2925-position model. Lineage: Bacteria; Bacillati; Bacillota; Bacilli; Lactobacillales; Enterococcaceae. The record is from RNAcentral.
GUACGGCGGAACACGAGAAAUUCCGUCGGAAUCCGCGGGGACCAUCCCGCAAGGCUAAAUACUCCCUAGUGACCGAUAGUGAACCAGUACCGUGAGGGAAAGGUGAAAAGCACCCCGGAAGGGGAGUGAAAUAGAUCCUGAAACCGUGUGCCUACAACAAGUCAAAGCUCGUUAAUGAGUGAUGGCGUGCCUUUUGUAGAAUGAACCGGCGAGUUACGAUUGCAUGCGAGGUUAAGUCGAAGAGACGGAGCCGCAGCGAAAGCGAGUCUGAAUAGGGCGAAUGAGUAUGUAGUCGUAGACCCGAAACCAUGUGAUCUACCCAUGUCCAGGUUGAAGGUGCGGUAAAACGCACUGGAGGACCGAACCCACGUACGUUGAAAAGUGCGGGGAUGAGGUGUGGGUAGCGGAGAAAUUCCAAACGAACUUGGAGAUAGCUGGUUCUCUCCGAAAUAGCUUUAGGGCUAGCCUCGGAAUUGAGAAUGAUGGAGGUAGAGCACUGUUUGGACUAGGGGCCCAUCUCGGGUUACCGAAUUCAGAUAAACUCCGAAUGCCAUUCAUUUAUAUCCGGGAGUCAGACUGCGAGUGAUAAGAUCCGUAGUCGAAAGGGAAACAGCCCAGACCACCAGCUAAGGUCCCAAAAUAUAUGUUAAGUGGAAAAGGAUGUGGGGUUGCACAGACAACUAGGAUGUUGGCUUAGAAGCAGCCACCAUUUAAAGAGUGCGUAAUAGCUCACUAGUCGAGUGACCCUGCGCCGAAAAUGUACCGGGGCUAAACAUAUUACCGAAGCUGUGGACUACACCAUUAGGUGUAGUGGUAGGAGAGCGUUCUAAGGGCGUUGAAGGUCGAUCGUGAGGACGGCUGGAGCGCUUAGAAGUGAGAAUGCCGGUAUGAGUAGCGAAAGACAGGUGAGAAUCCUGUCCACCGUAUGACUAAGGUUUCCUGGGGAAGGCUCGUCCGCCCAGGGUUAGUCGGGACCUAAGCCGAGGCCGAUAGGCGUAGGCGAUGGACAACAGGUUGAUAUUCCU